UAUGAUAAAGUACGUAUAAUUUUUUUAUCUUUCAAUAGGAUACAUCUACUAAUAAUGUCUUGAUCUGGCUAAAAGAACUUUCUUUGAAAGAUGAAUAGCCAGAUGCACUAUAACAUCAAAAAAUGAUGGUGAAAAAAAUUUUUUUAACUUACAAAGAAUGAGUACGAUAUCUUUCUCAAAUUUUUUAAUUAAAUUAUUCUUCAAUUUUUGACAACACAGUU
RNAcentral lists this long non-coding RNA (221 nucleotides) under Elaeis guineensis (African oil palm). Its description in RNAcentral is "long non-coding RNA (EGUI_LNC026098)". The record is from RNAcentral. Lineage: Eukaryota; Viridiplantae; Streptophyta; Magnoliopsida; Arecales; Arecaceae.